Molecule: ribosomal RNA, 162 nt
Filed under: Papulosa sp.
Lineage: Eukaryota; Fungi; Ascomycota; Sordariomycetes; Papulosaceae
Description: partial large subunit ribosomal RNA
Rfam family: Eukaryotic large subunit ribosomal RNA
Source: RNAcentral
CGGCAACAGCUCAAAUUUGAAAUCUGGCUCUUCUAGGGUCCGAGUUGUAAUUUGUAGAAGAUGCUUCGGGUGAGGUGCCUUCCAAGUGCCCUGGAACGGGACGCCGGAGAGGGUGAGAGCCCCGUACAGUCGGACACCAAGCCCAUGUGAAGCUCCUUCGAC